Molecule: long non-coding RNA, 379 nt
Filed under: Pan paniscus (pygmy chimpanzee)
Lineage: Eukaryota; Metazoa; Chordata; Mammalia; Primates; Hominidae
Description: lncRNA (ENSPPAG00000044199.1)
Source: RNAcentral
CCUUUUCUCCAUUGCUUAUUCAAUCAUUUUUAAACAACAUGACUAGAUUAAUUAUCAAUCUUUUCCCACCAAUGUUUUCAUCAAAGGUCUUCAAUGGCUUUCCACUGACAAGAGUUAUGUUCAAGCUCCUUCCUCUGACAUUCAAGACCCCAACAACGUGGUGACCAUUACUGCCUGCUUUCUUCUCAAAUAAAAUGACAGGUGCAGACGUGGUUUCUAAAAACCGCAAGUUGCUUUCUAGGCAAACUUUCCUCUCUCCAGGCGGUUGCUGUGUGAUGUUCACUUCAAGAAAGUCUUUUCAGGUAACAGUUUACAGACAAAUAAUAAUGAGGGAUUCUGAGCUUCCAUAGCCAUUCUAAAAUCACAUAUUCGUCAGAGG